Molecule: ribosomal RNA, 83 nt
Filed under: Colletotrichum gloeosporioides
Lineage: Eukaryota; Fungi; Ascomycota; Sordariomycetes; Glomerellales; Glomerellaceae
Description: partial 28S ribosomal RNA
Rfam family: Eukaryotic large subunit ribosomal RNA (bases 26-83)
Source: RNAcentral
AAAACCCCCCAAUUUUUCCAAAGGUUGACCUCGGAUCAGGUAGGAAUACCCGCUGAACUUAAGCAUAUCAAUAAGCGGAGGAA